This 2116-nucleotide unclassified non-coding RNA is filed under the name Daphnia pulicaria. Its description in RNAcentral is "tyrosine-protein kinase CSK-like, transcript variant X1". The record is from RNAcentral. Lineage: Eukaryota; Metazoa; Arthropoda; Branchiopoda; Diplostraca; Daphniidae.
CACUAGGUGCUCGACACUAUGGCGGCAGUCUGUUUCCUGCCUGUUUCUUGUUUCGCCCCGUCAGAUUAAAUGAAUGUAACCGUUUCGAUAGCUCGGUUAGAACAAUGUGUCAUAUACCCCUAAGUGAAGACAUCAAAACUUUUUACUUAUGAAUGUGCUGAUCCCCAUGAAAGUACCAUAAAGUGAAGAGGAUAACAGGUGUUUACAGCCGGUGGCCGUCCAACAACGAACUUGUACUUAUUGAACUCCGUGUGCACCACUGUAUAUUUUUGUUGCCUUUGAGGUGUGUCUGAAACGGUUUUAUCUUCCUUUAAAGGUAUAAGUGUGAAAUUGAACUACUCUUAGUGAAUGCCUUCAAACAACGAAAUGAACAAGAAACUAGAAGUAAAACUUCAUGCAAUGCCCUGGUUCCAUGGGAAAAUUUCAAGGGAACAAGCAGAAAACCUGCUACAACCAAGAGAAGAUGGUCUUUUCUUGGUUCGUGAGUCUACCAAUUAUCCUGGAGACUACACUCUCUGUGUCAGUUAUCAAGGGGAGGUUCAACAUUACAGAGUCAUAUACAAAGAUAACAAACUGACCAUUGAUGAAGAGGAGUUCUUUUCUACCUUGGCAGAGCUUGUUGAACAUUAUGAAAAGGAUGCAGAUGGACUUUGUACCCGUCUUGAGAGGAGUGUUGCUAAACAGGGCAAAACGGACUUCUGUGUUGAUCGAAAGGACUUUGAGGAAGCAGGCUGGAUCAUUCAAGAAAAAGAUCUCCAACUUAAGGAGUCAAUAGGGAAAGGAGAAUUUGGUGAUGUGAUGCUAGGUUCUUUUAAAGGAGAAAAAGUAGCUGUUAAAAUAUUGAAAGAUUCAAGCAAAGCAGCACAAAAAUUUCUUGCUGAAGCAUCAGUAAUGACAUCUUUACGUCACCCGAAUCUAGUUCAACUACUUGGCUUGGUGUUCAACGAUCAGCAUCAGCACCUCUACCUGGUCACAGAAUUUAUGAGUAAAGGAAGUUUAGUAGAUUACCUUCGCUCAAGAGGCCGGUUACAUGUCACCAAACGAGAUCAAAUCAAAUUUGCCUAUGAUACCUGUUCAGGAAUGGAAUAUCUUGAAUCGAAAAAAGUUGUUCAUCGAGACUUGGCGGCCCGAAACGUCUUGGUCGCUGAGACCGGAGAUGCUAAAGUUUGUGAUUUUGGAUUGGCUCGCGAAGAAAUAUACAAUCAAGAGGGAGGCAAGUUCCCCAUCAAAUGGACAGCACCAGAGGCAUUGAGACAUAGUAAAUUUUCCAACAAGUCGGAUAUGUGGAGUUUUGGGAUUCUCCUGUGGGAAAUCUACUCUUUCGGACGAGUCCCUUACCCGCGUAUUCCUCUUGCAGACGUUGUGAAGCACGUGGAAAAGGGCUACCGAAUGGAAAAACCUGAGGGUUGUCCGCAAGAGAUUCAUGACUUGAUGAGACAAGCCUGGGACCUAAACGCUGAUCGGCGACCCACUUUCAACCAAGUCAAGCAACAGCUGGCUCAACUCAAAGACACUCCUAAUUUCGUCUGAACCAAAUGCACUUAACCCACUGAUUCAUUUAAUACCCCACCUUUCAUUUCCUUUCCAGUCUGUCGACGGGGUUCCGUGACCAAUGAAAUCAAACAAACGUCAAUGGGGCAUCGAGCCGAUCCUCUCUUGAACUUGGAGAACCCACCAGGAAAAGAGGUAAAAUUAAACUAAGGUUUGCGCUUCAGAUCAAGAAAUGACAAACGUGCCAACCAUCAUCAGUUCGAAUCCAUCGUUAUCUAAAAAAAAAAAAGCCUAUCUAUAAUUUAAAAAAUUCAACAUCGAAAUCACCAUCCAAAGAAAAUUAAGCCACAGUGCAAAUCAAGCCAAGACGUUGCGACGUCCUCGGAGCUUCCUUUUGCCCCAUCUUCCUUGAUCAUUCUUUAGGCUUCGUUUUAACACAUUUUUUUUUUCAAUCGUCCUGAAUAUCCGAUCAAUCUGCCCUAUUAAUUUUUUGUUUACGAUAAUGUUACGAUUAUUGCCUGCCUUGACCGUGUUAACUGUACAUAAUCUGGUUGUGCUUACCUCUGCUGUUUGAUUCUUUUUGAAAAUUAAAUUAAUACGUGUAAUACAUUUAUAUACGCCUUUA